Molecule: transfer RNA, 74 nt
Filed under: Paludibacter propionicigenes WB4
Lineage: Bacteria; Pseudomonadati; Bacteroidota; Bacteroidia; Bacteroidales; Paludibacteraceae
Description: tRNA-Gln
Rfam family: tRNA
About the family: Transfer RNA (tRNA) molecules are approximately 80 nucleotides in length. Their secondary structure includes four short double-helical elements and three loops (D, anti-codon, and T loops).
Source: RNAcentral
UGUCUUAUGGUGUAAUGGUAGCACUGCAGUUUCUGGAUCUGCCUGUCUAGGUUCGAAUCCUAGUAAGACAACAA